GCAGAUUUAGUCUGUGGCAUGUCUCUUGAUGAAAGGACCAUUUCUCUCCUUUUUUAGGGAUUGUUUUUUCGUCCCUCCCUUCACUCCCACCGCCCCUCUUGUCUGUUCCUCUCAUUACUCACUGGAGUGUUUGCACUGGCUCAGCUUGCAGAAAUGGCCACCACAACAGGAACCGUCUGGGUCCCCAGCCUGCUUAUAUGGCUAAUUCACACAUAAAAUCUGAAGCCUUCGUAGGCAAACAUUUGCUGUGUCAUAACAUGCUUCUACUGUUUCUUUUUUUGUUUUUCUGUGAACUUGCAUAACCCACACAGACUGUAGCCGAAGUGGAAUUCCCACAGUCAAUAAUGCUGUUUCUGAUUUCAACUUUAAAUCACUUGUUGAUUUUUUUUUCACCUUUUCCAGUGUACUGGGCAGACCUUCACAAACAUCACUUGACUUGUAAUAUAUCAGAAAACCGUGCAGCACCCUGACCUACAUUGCCUCUCUCUGAGGGUGGUGAUGGUGACAUUGUUUUUUAAUUAUUGCUUGUUCAUGUCAAGAAGAAAAUCUUGCUUCCCCAUUUUGAUGUAGUUCCUGUUAAACCUGAAUUCUGGCUGUUACAAAACAGAGGGAGGUGUGACUUAAGUACAUAUUCACUAUUAUGACUAAGAGGCAGGUUAACGUAAUUGGAAUGGCAGGUAGGAAUGACUGAUCAAAAGUCCAUAAUAGUUUUGUUGGGAGAUUUUUUUUCUUUCUUUCUUUUUAUUACAGCACUGGUGCAGCAUGAGGUCAUUGGUGAAUAUAAACAGUUUUCCAGGAAGUAAGAGUAGUGGAAAGAAGUCGUCUUUUCCUGUCACAAUCUGAAGAAGUUCUUUUUCUUUUAUAAGAGAUUUGAGUGUCUGUUUUGACUGAUGACCAGCGUGAUAAAACUUUCUUUGAUAUUAAAAUCCUAUCACACAGUUGAAUUUAAAUCACUCUAAGCUACAUAACAUAUCCUAUAAGUUUAUAAUAGAGUGAUUUAAAACCAACCAUAUUAUAAUGUGGUGUCCUGCCCACCCCCUCGCCCCUUAAAAAAAUCAUAAUAUCCCUCAUCUCUUUUUUAACUGACAUGUUUUUCAUAAGGAUUGAGUGCUGAAUAGCUGUUUGGUCUUCUCAGUAAUCUGUCAUUCAACAGUAGGUAUACCAGCAUGACACUGCUAUACCUAUUGUCGUGGC
Astatotilapia calliptera (eastern happy) is the source of this 1194-nucleotide long non-coding RNA. The record is from Ensembl. NCBI's taxonomy places the organism in Eukaryota, Metazoa, Chordata, Actinopteri, Cichliformes, Cichlidae.